This 216-nucleotide ribosomal RNA is filed under the name uncultured bacterium. RNAcentral describes it as "partial 16S ribosomal RNA". It matches the Rfam family "Bacterial small subunit ribosomal RNA", at positions 118 to 347 of the family's 1533-position model. The record is from RNAcentral.
UGGGAACGUACCUUUCAGUUCGGAAUAACCCAGGGAAACUUGGGCUAAGACCGGAUACGCCCUUUUGGGGAAAGAUUUAUCGCUGAGAGAUCGGCCCGCGUCUGAUUAGCUAGUUGGUGAGGUAAAGGCUCACCAAGGCGACGAUCAGUAGCUGGUCUGAGAGGAUGAUCAGCCACAUUGGGACUGAGACACGGCCCAAACUCCGUACGGGAGCAG